RNAcentral lists this ribosomal RNA (495 nucleotides) under uncultured bacterium. RNAcentral's name for it is "partial 16S ribosomal RNA". It matches the Rfam family "Bacterial small subunit ribosomal RNA", at positions 28 to 507 of the family's 1533-position model. The record is from RNAcentral.
GACGAACGCUGGCGGCGUGCCUAAUACAUGCAAGUAGAACGCUGAAGGAGGAGCUUGCUCUUCUGGAUGAGUUGCGAACGGGUGAGUAACGCGUAGGUAACCUGCCUGGUAGCGGGGGAUAACUAUUGGAAACGAUAGCUAAUACCGCAUAACAGUAGAUGUUGCAUGACAUUUGCUUAAAAGGUGCAAUUGCACCACUACCAGAUGGACCUGCGUUGUAUUAGCUAGUUGGUGGGGUAACGGCUCACCAAGGCGACGAUACAUAGCCGACCUGAGAGGGGGGUCGGCCACACUGGGACUGGGACACGGCCCAGACUCCUACGGGAGGCAGCAGUAGGGAAUCUUCGGCAAUGGACGGAAGUCUGACCGAGCAACGCCGCGUGAGUGAAGAAGGUUUUCGGAUCGUAAAGCUCUGUUGUAAGAGAAGAACGAGUGUGAGAGUGGAAAGUUCACACUGUGACGGUAUCUUACCAGAAAGGGACGGCUAACUACGUG